This 656-nucleotide long non-coding RNA is filed under the name Sorghum bicolor (sorghum). Its description in RNAcentral is "long non-coding RNA (SBIC_LNC010093)". Lineage: Eukaryota; Viridiplantae; Streptophyta; Magnoliopsida; Poales; Poaceae. The record is from RNAcentral.
UGUGUUGGGUAUUCUUAACAUCAUUACUAAAAGUAGACUAAGUUCUAAAUCUAGCAACGGUGCCAAAAAUGCCAAACCUAUCCCUCACACCACUUAAGCCAAGUUGUCAUCCCCAGCAUGAUAUAAGAGACGCGGUAUUGAAAUAUGCAAUUGCUCUUCUAAAUAAAUAAUGAAUGGGAUCUGCAAGCGCACAGAUUAAUACUGAUGCAGCAUUUUAACCGGGAAGUAUUCCAGGUAUCGUUAUUUAUAUUUUUACCACUGGGAAGGGAUUAGUCAAUCAUCACUAUUGAUUACAGAAUAGAAUAUGAGAUUGAGCAUCUAUCAUUGCAUGUAUAAUUGAGAACAUUAUAUCUAACUCAUCAUACAGGGAUGAGUGUCACAUAAAAGAUAUAUGAAAUAAUAAUAGUGACAAGGAUAACUAAUCUGAUCUAGCCACAUAAUAAAUAUGAUAAGCACCUCAAUUAGAUACUCUAGAAAGUCAUUAGCAUGGUAUUAGAACGAACUACAAGAAUAUUCCCUAAGUUAUUCUCAACUAUAUAGUCUAGCAUUAUCAUAGUUAGUGCAAGCAUACUUAGCAAUCAUUGCGAGACAAGACUACGCCCAUGCAUAGUGAUAUUAGCAAAGAAUAUGAGAAACAUAGCAAUCACUCCCCUGUA